UACGAAGGGUGCAAACGUUGCUCGGAAUUAUUGGGCGUAAAGCGCACGUAGGCGGCUUAGAAAGUUGGAUGUGAAAUCCCUCGGCUCAACCAAGGAAGUGCAUCCAAAACUGCUGAGCUUGAGUACUUAAGAGGAUCGCGGAAUUCCCGGUGUAGAGGUGAAAUUCGUAGAUAUCGGAAGGAACACCUGUGGCGAAAGCGGCUCACUGGACCAUUACUGACGCUGAUGCACGAAAGCUAGGGGAGCAAACAGG
Molecule: ribosomal RNA, 253 nt
Filed under: uncultured bacterium
Lineage: Bacteria
Description: partial 16S ribosomal RNA
Rfam family: Bacterial small subunit ribosomal RNA
Source: RNAcentral